Sapajus apella (tufted capuchin) is the source of this 920-nucleotide long non-coding RNA. RefSeq lists it as uncharacterized. NCBI's taxonomy places the organism in Eukaryota, Metazoa, Chordata, Mammalia, Primates, Cebidae. The record is from RefSeq and is a predicted model, not a curated record. The transcript is spliced from 2 exons.
GGGAGGCCCUGUACCACCACCCAUUCAAUAUGGACCACCGCCUCAGCUCUGUGGCCCUUUUGGGCCUCGGCCAAUUCCUCCACCCUUUGGCCCUGGUAUGCGUCCUCCACUAGGCUUAAGAGAAUUUGCACCAGGAAAAUGGGACCUGCCACUCCACCCUCUGGAACUUUUACCAGGACACACACCAUUUAGGCCUUUAGGUCCUCUUGGCCCAAGAGAGUACUUUAUUCCUGGUACACGAUUACCACCCCCAACCCAUGUUCCCCAGGAUUACCGACCACCACCUGCCAGAAGAGACGUACUGCCGCCAGGCUCAAACGAUGAGCCUCCUCCUGCCUCUCGCAGCACUAGUCAGGACUGUUCACCGGCUUUAAAUCGGAGCCCAUAACUAUGACUUCUGAUGUUUCAUUGGAGAAAAAAUGGACUGUGCAUUAUUUAUUACAGUAAAGGAUUUCAUUGGCUUCAAAAUCCAAGUUUAUUUUAAAAGAUCUGUUGUUAGAACUAAGCUGCCUUGGCAGUAUGCAGUUUUGAGCCAAACAAUUCAGAAAUGUUAUUUCUUCCCUAAACAAAAAUCACCUUUUAAUCUAUAGCAUCCUUACUACUUUGAAAUGUGCAAUAAAGAAUACUUGUGUUUUAGCUAAUGUAGCAUUGUAAUUGCUAAAUGAUUUAGAAUGUCAUGAAAAAUAUGAACAUUUCCUGUGGAAAUGCUUUAAAAACAUGUAUUUCCAUCAUCCUGUUUUUAGUGUACACCAGCUGAAUAUGGGGCAAUGGCGUUUAUAAGCAUUUUUGUUUUUUUAAAAAAAUGAUCUGGUCCCAAAGACUGUUAAGCUAAAAAUGUUUACUAAAAGGUCACUAAACUUUCUCUCCCCACUUGCUGAAGUUGUUUGUAGUAAUAGUUCAUAAAAAGUUGUUUAUUAAUA